This is a long non-coding RNA of Monodelphis domestica (gray short-tailed opossum), 2158 nucleotides long. NCBI's taxonomy places the organism in Eukaryota, Metazoa, Chordata, Mammalia, Didelphimorphia, Didelphidae. The record is from Ensembl.
CCAAUGGUGUAGAUUGCAACUCAUCCAUCCUGGGAGACGCUUGUCCACUUUCUCCCAAAAUUUCACCCCAGGCAAUCCACCCAAUGUGGGGGGGCUUCCUUGCUUUCUCCUCAUAGCCAAGGGUACCAUUGAACACUCUGGCUGUCCAUUUAUCAUCUUUCUGUCUUGCCACAGGGCCAGUCUAUCUUCUCUUCCCAUUAUGCAAUUCCUUUAGUGACAUUCUCAUCUCCUAUUCUUUGGGUGAGGUAGCCAGUUCUGUGCAGUGGAUAGAGAGCUGGCUCUAGAUUCAAGAAAGUCUGAGUUCAAAUCUCAAAUCCUUACUACCUGUGUGACCCUUGGCAAGUCAUUUGACUACUGUCUACCUCAGUUUCCUUCCCUGAAAAAUGGGGAUAAUAAUACCAACUGCCUCCCAGGAUAGUUGUGAAGAUUAAAUGAGAUAGUAUUUGUAAAGAGCACAGUACCUGGCACACAGUAGAAGCUUAAGAAAUGCUUAUUCCCCUUCCUACUCCAGAUGUUGAAGCCCGUUCACUCCCACCAUAGACUUCUCCAUUCAACUCUGUGUGAUACUCAUCUCUAGUUCUUCAGAGGCAGUGGUGUUCCAUAUCUUGCUGUCAUAUAACACCACUGAUAUACAAGCUGAUGGAAAGCUCAACAAGGCAUCCAUCCAAAUGCAAGUUGAAAUCUGGGCAACAGACAUACUUCAUCCACUUGGUCUUUCUUGUGUGGAUGGGCACAUUGUAAGUGUAUCCUGGGAAUCCCACAAAUGGAAGAGUCCAAAGAAACUCACCAUCCAUAAACAAUGCCUGCAUUUUGCACUGGUUCUCCUCCAUCACAGUGGGCAAAAGCAUUGAAGAACCCACUGUUUCAUGCCUAUUUCUGUUGCUACAUCUUCUAAGGAAUCUUGUCUUAUCUUGGAAGUCUAACAGAUGGGAGCCACUUUAUCGCCAAAAAGCCUGUUGGAAUAUAAGCCCCCUGAGGGUAAAGACUAUUUCCAGGAUGCAGUGGAUGAUCUUGUGGUCUUCCAUGUCUAAGCAAGCUCAGAAGUGCUCCACAGCACCUGCUUCAGUCAGAAGAAAGAUACAACCGAAACGCCGUGCCCUGAAAAAUCCUGCUCGUUGUUUGGACCCUGAAACACAUGGCUCCUUCUGGCUAGGAUAACAAGACCUUUUCUUUGAAGGCUGCAUGGAUCACAGAAGCAAGAGCGGCACUCGGAGCAACCCCUUCAAAGAAAAAGAGGGCAGAGGAACCCCCACUCAGAGGCUGUGUUCUCAGUGGGGACCUUCAUUGCUUGGAUUGAAGAAUAUUCUCAUCAAAACCGUAGAGUAGAAAGAGGAAAGACUCGAGAACUAUAAACCUGAGUUCAAAUCCCAACUCUGAAGCAGACUAAUUGAGUGCAAGUUAUUUAAUCUUCUGGGCUUCUGUUUUCUCAUCUGAAAAAGGAGAGGGGUGAGGGCAGCUAGGUAGCACAGUGGAUGUGCUCCAGGCUGGAGUUGUGAGUGGGGGGACCUGAGUUCAAAUAGGACCUCAGACAUUUCCUAGCUAUGAGACCCUGGGGAAAUGACUUAUCCCUCAUUGCCUAGCUCUUGCUUCUCUUCUGUCUUAGAAUUGAUACUAAAACAGAAGAAAAGGAGGGGAUUAGAAAAGAUGAGUCCUGAGGUCCCUUCCAGCUCUCCAUCUACCAGGAUUCUGUUUUUCCUAGCUUGGUACUGAAUUCUAAAAGGCAAGAUCUAUCUCUCUAUGCAGCUGCUAUUCCCACAGUGGCACAAAGCAAUAAUAAUAAUAACAUAGUAUUUUAUGUGCAUGUGUUAUAUAUGCAUGUAUAUAUGUAACCUAUGUGCAUAUAUGUACACACACCUAUGUGAAAGGCUACGAUCCAUACUGCUUGGAAGGCCAGGUAGGUUAGAUUUCUACCUUUCCCCUGAGGUUCUCUGGUACCCUUAAGGGGACUAAGUUCUCUCCAAUGGCUCCUGCUCCACCAGUGGGGCUCCCACAAUUAGGAGUGCCUCCCUGUACCAUAAUUCCAUUUGGUCACUAACAAUCAGAUUCAAUUUUACACAAAACUAUUUAUUUCAGAAGCUAUAAUCACAAAUACACAAAUAUACAAACUUAUUUUCCCAACAUAUUGGAGGCAUAAUCCUCCUUCUUCAUCAGCACCUUA